Molecule: ribosomal RNA, 253 nt
Filed under: uncultured bacterium
Lineage: Bacteria
Description: partial 16S ribosomal RNA
Rfam family: Bacterial small subunit ribosomal RNA
Source: RNAcentral
UACGUAGGGUGCAAGCGUUGUCCGGAAUUAUUGGGCGUAAAGAGCUCGUAGGCGGUCUGUCGCGUCGGAUGUGAAAACCCAGGGCUCAACCCUGGGCCUGCAUUCGAUACGGGCAGACUAGAGUUCGGUAGGGGAGACUGGAAUUCCUGGUGUAGCGGUGAAAUGCGCAGAUAUCAGGAGGAACACCGGUGGCGAAGGCGGUUCUCUGGGCAUUACCUGACGCUGAGGAGCGAAAGCGUGGGGAGCGAACAGG